RNAcentral lists this long non-coding RNA (483 nucleotides) under Prunus persica (peach). Its description in RNAcentral is "long non-coding RNA (PPER_LNC004058)". Lineage: Eukaryota; Viridiplantae; Streptophyta; Magnoliopsida; Rosales; Rosaceae. The record is from RNAcentral.
UUAUCACCAAGUCGGAGAGAUGGAUCAAACCCAAGCGGUAUAGGACGUCUACGUUCUUCACUCGUCCUCCACUUACGUAAAGCCUAAGCGCUUGAACGGGUUAUCACCAAGUCGGAGAGAUGGAUCAAACCCAAGCGGUAUAGGACGUCUACGUUCUUCACUCGUCCUCCAUUUACGUAAAGCCUAAGCGCUUGAGCGGGUUAUCACCAAGUAGGAGAGAUGGAUCAAACCCAAGCGGUAUAGGACGUCUACGUUCUUCACUCGUCCUCCACUUACGUAAAGCCUAAGCGCUUGAACGGGUUAUCACCAAGUCGGAGAGAUGGAUCAAACCCAAGCGGUAUAGGACGUCUACGUUCUUCACUCAUCCUCCACUUACGUAAAGCCUAAGCGCUUGAGCGGGUUAUCACCAAGUCGGAGAGAUGGAUCAAACCCAAGCGGUAUAGGACGUCUACGUUCUUCACUUGUCCUCCACUGACGUAAAGC